AGUUUAUUAGGGAAAUUAUAGAAUACUUCCUCGUUCUUUUACAGUUUUACUUAUAUGUUUAUUUAAAUACAUUAGUUGUUGGUCCCUUAUCUAAGUCACAAGUUUGUAAUUUCAAAUUUUCUGAAAAGAUCUAAAUUUCUAUAGGCGUCUUCAUUUAAAUUCAUUGCUUGUUAAGGAUUACUUUUUGGAGUCCAAAUCCUUCAAGGUUAAGGAUUACUUUUUGAGUCUAUAAA
Molecule: unclassified non-coding RNA, 233 nt
Filed under: Hevea brasiliensis (rubber tree)
Lineage: Eukaryota; Viridiplantae; Streptophyta; Magnoliopsida; Malpighiales; Euphorbiaceae
Source: RNAcentral